UACGUAGGGCGCAAGCGUUAUCCGGAAUUAUUGGGCGUAAAGAGCUCGUAGGCGGCUGCUCAAGUCGAAUGCGAAAACUCGAGGCUCAACCUCGAGCCUGCAUUCGAUACUGGGCGGCUAGAGUCUGGUAGGGGGAUCUGGAAUUCCUGGUGUAGCGGUGGAAUGCGCAGAUAUCAGGAAGAACACCUAUGGCGAAGGCAGCUCUCUGGGACGGUACUGACGCUGAGACGCGAAAGCGUGGGGAGCGAACAGG
RNAcentral lists this ribosomal RNA (253 nucleotides) under uncultured bacterium. RNAcentral's name for it is "partial 16S ribosomal RNA". It matches the Rfam family "Bacterial small subunit ribosomal RNA", at positions 524 to 776 of the family's 1533-position model. The record is from RNAcentral.